UGUGGGGUGGCUCAGAGGUAGAGCACUUGCCUAGCAUGUGCAAGGUCCUGAGUUAGAUUCCCAGAAUCACAA
This 72-nucleotide transfer RNA is filed under the name Marmota marmota marmota (Alpine marmot). It matches the Rfam family "tRNA". From Rfam's summary of the family: Transfer RNA (tRNA) molecules are approximately 80 nucleotides in length. Their secondary structure includes four short double-helical elements and three loops (D, anti-codon, and T loops). Lineage: Eukaryota; Metazoa; Chordata; Mammalia; Rodentia; Sciuridae. The record is from Rfam by way of RNAcentral. RNAcentral also lists the same sequence under 2 other names.